RNAcentral lists this long non-coding RNA (252 nucleotides) under Gallus gallus (chicken). RNAcentral describes it as "long non-coding RNA NONGGAT008881". The record is from RNAcentral. Lineage: Eukaryota; Metazoa; Chordata; Aves; Galliformes; Phasianidae.
GAAUGGCAUCUGACAUGAAGAUAACAAAGCUACAUUCCUAAGGCAAGACCAGUUAAUGCUGCAAGGUACAGUGUGGAGCACCAUGUAUGCAGUUUCAAAGAGAAGUCAUAUUUGUGUGAUCGUAUGGGUGAGAAGAAGAGGUGAAUAAUAUGUAAAAAAUGAGACAGGAGUAUAAGAGCAAGCAUUUUAUAUGCCUGAAUUCUGCAAACCAGGUAAAAAGAACACAGUUAUAAUGCUCAAGAAACAUAGCAU